RNAcentral lists this ribosomal RNA (655 nucleotides) under uncultured bacterium. RNAcentral describes it as "bacterial SSU rRNA". It matches the Rfam family "Bacterial small subunit ribosomal RNA", at positions 790 to 1447 of the family's 1533-position model. The record is from RNAcentral.
GUAGUCCACGCCCUAAACGAUGUCAACUAGUGUCGGGGAAGUUAUUCUUUGGUAACGAAGCUAACGCGUGAAGUUGACCGCCUGGGGAGUACGGCCGCAAGGUUAAAACUCAAAGGAAUUGACGGGGACCCGCACAAGCGGUGGAUUAUGUGGAUUAAUUCGAUGCAACGCGAAAAACCUUACCUACCCUUGACUUGUACGGAACCCCGCAGAGAUGCGGGGGUGCCCGAAAGGGAACCGUAACACAGGUGCUGCAUGGCUGUCGUCAGCUCGUGUCGUGAGAUGUUGGGUUAAGUCCCGCAACGAGCGCAACCCUUGUCAUUAGUUGCCACAUUCAGUUGGGCACUCUAGUGAGACUGCCGGUGACAAACCGGAGGAAGGUGGGGAUGACGUCAAGUCCUCAUGGCCCUUAUGGGUAGGGCUUCACACGUAAUACAAUGGCCGGUACAGAGGGCUGCCAACCCGCAAGGGGGAGCAAAUCCCAGAAAGCCGGUCGUAGUCCGGAUUGUUCUCUGCAACUCGAGAGCAUGAAGUCGGAAUCGCUAGUAAUCGCGGAUCAGCAUGUCGCGGUGAAUACGUUCCCGGGUCUUGUACACACCGCCCGUCACACCAUGGGAGUGGGUUCCACCAGAAGUAGCUAGCCUAGCCGCAAGGA